RNAcentral lists this ribosomal RNA (408 nucleotides) under Salmonella enterica. RNAcentral describes it as "bacterial SSU rRNA". It matches the Rfam family "Bacterial small subunit ribosomal RNA", at positions 1126 to 1533 of the family's 1533-position model. Lineage: Bacteria; Pseudomonadati; Pseudomonadota; Gammaproteobacteria; Enterobacterales; Enterobacteriaceae. RNAcentral also lists the same sequence under 16 other names. The record is from RNAcentral.
UUAGGUCGGGAACUCAAAGGAGACUGCCAGUGAUAAACUGGAGGAAGGUGGGGAUGACGUCAAGUCAUCAUGGCCCUUACGACCAGGGCUACACACGUGCUACAAUGGCGCAUACAAAGAGAAGCGACCUCGCGAGAGCAAGCGGACCUCAUAAAGUGCGUCGUAGUCCGGAUUGGAGUCUGCAACUCGACUCCAUGAAGUCGGAAUCGCUAGUAAUCGUGGAUCAGAAUGCCACGGUGAAUACGUUCCCGGGCCUUGUACACACCGCCCGUCACACCAUGGGAGUGGGUUGCAAAAGAAGUAGGUAGCUUAACCUUCGGGAGGGCGCUUACCACUUUGUGAUUCAUGACUGGGGUGAAGUCGUAACAAGGUAACCGUAGGGGAACCUGCGGUUGGAUCACCUCCUUA